This 602-nucleotide long non-coding RNA is filed under the name Marmota monax (woodchuck). Lineage: Eukaryota; Metazoa; Chordata; Mammalia; Rodentia; Sciuridae. The record is from RNAcentral.
AUAAAUUACUUGUGAGAUUGAACAUAAAGGACAAUUUUGUACUUGCUUAUAAAGAUAAUUUCUAAGGAUUUAGUAACUUUUAGCAUUUAUAUUUGAAGGAAGGAAUUCCAGUAAACAUUAUUUGUUCCAAAGUACAAAUUAAAUUUGACAUGCCUGUUGCUUAAGGCUGUGUUUGGUGAGGACUGAACUGGUCUUCACAUUUUUGUCUUUUCUAUUAAUUUUCUUCCCCCAGCAAAGACUCAAUUGGGUCUCUGCUACAACACUAGACCAGCGCUGGAAAGUUCUGUAAAGGGACAGAGAAUGAAUAGUUCAGUUUUGUAGGCCACAUGGUUUCUGUUGUAACUACUCAGAUCUGCUGUAUGGCCAGAGCAGCUCUGGGCAGUAUGUAAAUGAGUAGCCUGCGUGUCUUCUGGUCAGACUUUAUUCACAAGAACAGGAGGCCAGCUGCCCUGCUGGCCGAGAUCUACCCGCUCUCGCUAUACUGGAGAAUCCAGGCCUCUGCGUUUCAUUUUACCCACAGCACAGUGCCCGGCAAACAGUGAACUUUCAGUACACAUUUGCUUCAAUGAAUCUUGUUUUUUUCUGGCCAAAUUAGGUAAAGC